This 434-nucleotide ribosomal RNA is filed under the name uncultured bacterium. RNAcentral describes it as "partial 16S ribosomal RNA". It matches the Rfam family "Bacterial small subunit ribosomal RNA", at positions 29 to 507 of the family's 1533-position model. The record is from RNAcentral.
AGCGAACGCUGGCGGCAGGCCUAACACAUGCAAGUCGAACGAACCUUUCGGGGUUAGUGGCGGACGGGUGAGUAACACGUGGGAACGUGCCUUUAGGUUCGGAAUAACUCAGGGAAAAUUGUGAUAAUACCGAAUGUGCCCUUCGGGGGAAAGAUUUAUCUCCUUUAGAGAGGCCCGCGUCUGAUUAGCUAGUUGGUUGAGGUAAUGGCUCACCAAGGCGACGAUCAGUAGCUGGUCUGAGAGCAUGAUCAGCAACAUUGGGACUGAGACACGGCCAAAACUCCUACGGACGGCAGCAGUGGGGCAUCUUGCGCAAUGGGCGAAAGCCUGACGCAGCCAUGCCGCGUGAAUGAUGAAGGUCUUAGGAUUGUAAAAUUCUUUCACCGGGGACGAUAAUGACGGUACCCGGAGAAUAAGCACCGGCUAACUUCGUG